GACGAACGCUGGCGGCGUGCUUAACACAUGCAAGUCGAACGGAAAGGCCCUGCUUGCAGGGUACUCGAGUGGCGAACGGGUGAGUAACACGUGGGUGAGCUGCCCUGCACUUCGGGAUAGGCUUGGGAAACGGGGUGGAAUACCGGAUAGGAGACAGCUUUAGGGUGGAGGUUGGAGAGUUUUUUCGGUGUAGGAUGAGCUCGCGGCCUAUCAGCUUGUUGGUGGGGUAAUGGCCUACCAAGGCGGCGACGGGUAGCCGGCCUGCGAGGGUGUACGGCCACAUUGGGCCUGAGCUACGGCCCCGACUCCGACGGGGGGCAGCAGUGGGGCAUAUUGCACAAUGCGCGCCAGCCUGAUGCAGCGACGCCGCGUGGGGGAUGAAGGCCUUCGGGUUGUAAACUCCUUUCGCUAGGGACGAAGCUUUGUUGUGACGGUACCUAGAGAAGAAGCACCGGCUAACUACGUG
Molecule: ribosomal RNA, 466 nt
Filed under: uncultured bacterium
Lineage: Bacteria
Description: partial 16S ribosomal RNA
Rfam family: Bacterial small subunit ribosomal RNA
Source: RNAcentral